Molecule: unclassified non-coding RNA, 760 nt
Filed under: Hevea brasiliensis (rubber tree)
Lineage: Eukaryota; Viridiplantae; Streptophyta; Magnoliopsida; Malpighiales; Euphorbiaceae
Source: RNAcentral
AAAGGAUUGUUGCUAUGAGUUGACGAUCGUCAGCAAACACCACUUUCAUGUCAUAAUAGUACCUAAAGAAGCUGGUAUUAUUCUACAAGAGGAUUCUUCACCACUUCACCAACAUAAGAAGUGGUCAAAGGAAUUUCUAACAUGAAAUAUAUUACACACAGCUAUUUCUCAGACUUCAUUGAUUCAAUGAAUAAAAUAAUGAUUUCAAAGAAGGGAAAAAAUAUGAAAUACCAAUAUCCUUGAUAAGUGAAAAUCAUAUCUUGUGUAAUCUACAUCAAUAUCUAAGGCACCAAGAAAUAGAUGUUGUCAUCAAGUUCGGAGUGAAAUUAUAAACAAAAUUCUAAGCCAUUUACAUUCAAAGCAAUUCAAAUAGAAGGCCAAUCAAGUUAUCUUUCCUCUUUUAAGACUUAAAAAUACUCACAGGUUCACCAGAAGGUCAUCAAUCACUUGGUCUGGAGAAUCGCCAAUAAAUUUCUACAGAUGUUCAAUAAAAUGCUUCUGAGCCACCCCUUUUUGAUGUUUAAAACAAGACAUCUAACUAGGAAAAUAUGAACUCCUGUUGAUCCAGGCUAAUUUAUGCUAUUGAUAGCUAGGUUCAACAUGGCAUGAAAACUCAAAAUAAAGUAUCUCAUGAAUUUAGAUAACAGAUUCUCUAUACCAAUCAUGGCGAUGCACCACUAUAAACUGCUCCCAUCCCACAUAGCAUAUUUAUACUUCCAACUGCUUUCUUAAUUUGAUGGGAUACCGGGAUGAUUGACUG